Molecule: long non-coding RNA, 250 nt
Filed under: Lathyrus oleraceus (garden pea)
Lineage: Eukaryota; Viridiplantae; Streptophyta; Magnoliopsida; Fabales; Fabaceae
Description: Pisum sativum (pea) long non-coding RNA (PSAT_LNC017829)
Source: RNAcentral
UGGGAGACAUGAAGGGAUUCCAUGAAAAUAAAUCGAUGGAAAGACUCGAGCUGAUGCAAAGAUACACGUAUUGGGGAAUAUGCCAAUACAGCAAAGCUAUCCACAAAGUAUACAUCGGAUAAAAAAAAUCUGGACUCGGACGGGGAUGUCCACAAAGGACUCAACUGAGGAAGAAAAAUGAGAUAUUACCGGUUACUGGGUAAUAAACUCAAAGAGAGACAUGUUAUCAAAACACCGGUUACUGGGUGAG